Molecule: ribosomal RNA, 253 nt
Filed under: uncultured bacterium
Lineage: Bacteria
Description: partial 16S ribosomal RNA
Rfam family: Bacterial small subunit ribosomal RNA
Source: RNAcentral
UACAGAGGUCUCAAGCGUUGUUCGGAUUCAUUGGGCGUAAAGGGUGUGUAGGUGGCGCGCUAAGUCGGGUGUGAAAUUUCGGAGCUUAACUCCGAAACUGCAUUCGAUACUGCCGUGCUUGAGGACUGGAGAGGAGACUGGAAUUUACGGUGUAGCGGUGAAAUGCGUAGAUAUCGUAAGGAAGACCAGUGGCGAAGGCGGGUCUCUGGACAGUUCCUGACGCUCAGGCGCGAAAGCUAGGGGAGCAAACAGG